Dendronephthya gigantea is the source of this 1158-nucleotide RNA transcript. It is a transcript of the gene named cyclic nucleotide-binding domain-containing protein 2-like, with no coding region annotated. The record is from RefSeq and is a predicted model, not a curated record. NCBI's taxonomy places the organism in Eukaryota, Metazoa, Cnidaria, Anthozoa, Malacalcyonacea, Nephtheidae. The transcript is spliced from 5 exons.
CUCUAUUUACAUAAUAAAAUAAAAGUUCAUAACAUUUAAUGGGCCGCCUAUGGUCACGUGGAUACAUACGCGUCAAAGCGCACGCGAAAUAAUUUAGUAAACGUCACAAUGCUGUAGUUGCGCACAUGUUUAAUGCACAUAGUCCAGAAUCUUGCUAACAAAAACCAGAAAUGUCGCAGGAAGAUUUAGUUUCUACAGAGAGUGAACGCGAGAGUGAGAAAGAGCCCUCAUUACAGCAAUGGAAAAGGAUUUCAAAACGUGUGGGUUUUCAAAAAAAUUGGACAAAAGAAUGUAUCAUUAAAGUGUUAAACGACUCCAAUGGAGAGGCAUUACAAGGAAAGGAUCUUCAGAAAAUACCAUUCAAUGCCAAUCUGUAUAAAGCGUGUGUGCAGUCAGGUCGUCUAAGUGACAGAGCAAAACAUUUGUUUACAAAAGAUCCCGAUGUCCGCACAGACAAAGAUAUUGUGGAAAUAUUUCGCGCCGUUGACAAGUUGCAAUGCUUUUCUAAAUAUUCCCGAGCUGUUAAGGAAGGCUUAGCAAAGUUUGUGUAUUAUAGUGAAUUUCCAGUUGACAGGGUAGUUGUACAGCAAGGACACCCUGCUCUUUCGUUCUACUUUAUUCUGAAAGGCUCUGUAAAUGUUGUGGUAGAAGAAGAAGAUAAAGGAACUGGCAAAAUGACAAAAAAUAUCGUUGGAGAAAUUCUUGCAGGUAAUUCCUUCGGAGAACUAGCCUUGAUACAUGACACACACCGAAGAGCAUCCGUUAUUUGCAAAGAGCCAUCGAAAUUCCUACGACUGGAUAAAUCCGAUUUUAACCAGGUCAGAACAUGCAACAAUGUAUAGCAAGCAGCCGCACCAUUAAAGAACUUUACAUUUACAAAAAGGGCAUGCAGCAUAAGUACAGAAUACAACAACAGCAACAAGGUUAUAUAUAUAAAUAUAUAUAACCUUUGCUAUAGGUCUUACGAGAAACGUAUGAAAAAGAAUGGCAAUUAAGAAUGGAUUACUUGCAAGCAAUACCAGCUUUUGAAAACUGGACGACGUUGGAACUGAAGGCCAUAAACAAUGCGUCAAAUAUAGUUGACUAUCCGGAAAACUCGGUUGUGCAUAAAGACGAGCCAUCUGAAACGGUCUACAUCAUCAAAUCCGGAAGUUGCAU